GUGGCUAAUUAAGUAGUGGGAGAGUCACCGGAAGAUUGUCGGAGAUUUGUCCAGCAGAAAUAGAGAGAGAAAAAGUAAAAGAGCACAAAACAGAAGAUAAAAGGGGGAACAAAUGAAAACCCAGGUAAGGAAAAGGCGUACUUAUCGCCGGAGGAGAAGCUGUAGAGCUUGCCGGAGGCGGAGACGACGAGAAGAGCGACGGAUGCGUCACAGAGAACAGAAAGCUGACGAGCUUUCUCGAUGAGACCGUUGCGACGUUUGGAGAAGGUGACUUGUCGGCUACUUUUGUUCUCAAUUCGCUUGAUUUCUAGUUUUUUUCUUCCCAUGGCUUCUCUCCGAGAGGGCUUUGUGCCCUAAUUUGAUCCUCAGGUUUGGGUUCAAGUCGCCGGAGAUACUAAGCGUUUUCUCUUUCUAUUUUUUUUUUUCCUUUUCUCGCUUUAUUUCUUUCUAUUUUUUGUGCCUAUCUACUUUUUCUUCGUCGGGCCAGAUAUUUUUUUUUUUUUGGGGGUAAACGAGAGUGAUGCAAAAAAACCAAAUAUGUGAAUAAAAACGUUGUGUUUUGAAGACAAGAUUGCCACGUGUACCGC
This 587-nucleotide long non-coding RNA is filed under the name Arabidopsis thaliana (thale cress). RNAcentral describes it as "natural antisense transcript overlaps with AT5G10140 (FLC) (AT5G01675)". The record is from RNAcentral. Lineage: Eukaryota; Viridiplantae; Streptophyta; Magnoliopsida; Brassicales; Brassicaceae.